AACAGGAUUAGAUACCCUGGUAGUCCACCCCGUAAACGUUGGGAACUAGUUGUGGGGACCAUUCCACGGUUUCCGUGACGCAGCUAACGCAUUAAGUUCCCCGCCUGGGGAGUACGGCCGCAAGGCUAAAACUCAAAGGAAUUGACGGGGACCCGCACAAGCGGCGGAGCAUGCGGAUUAAUUCGAUGCAACGCGAAGAACCUUACCAAGGCUUGACAUAUACGAGAACGGGCCAGAAAUGGUCAACUCUUUGGACACUCGUAAACAGGUGGUGCAUGGUUGUCGUCAGCUCGUGUCGUGAGAUGUUGGGUUAAGUCCCGCAACGAGCGCAACCCUCGUUCUAUGUUGCCAGCACGUAAUGGUGGGAACUCAUGGGAUACUGCCGGGGUCAACUCGGAGGAAGGUGGGGAUGACGUCAAAUCAUCAUGCCCCUUAUGUCUUGGGCUUCACGCAUGCUACAAUGGCCGGUACAAAGGGCUGCAAUACCGUGAGGUGGAGCGAAUCCCAAAAAGCCGGUCCCAGUUCGGAUUGAGGUCUGCAACUCGACCUCAUGAAGUCGGAGUCGCUAGUAAUCGCAGAUCAGCAACGCUGCGGUGAAUACGUUCCCGGGUCUUGUACACACCGCCCGUCAAGUCAUGAAAGUCGGUAACACCUGAAGCCGGUGGCCCAACCCUUGUGGAGGGAGCCGUCGAAAGUGGGAUCGGUAAUUAGGACUAAGUCGUAACAAGGUAGCC
Molecule: ribosomal RNA, 734 nt
Filed under: uncultured bacterium
Lineage: Bacteria
Description: bacterial SSU rRNA
Rfam family: Bacterial small subunit ribosomal RNA
Source: RNAcentral